GCAUAAUAUACGAUUCCUUCAAGAAAUUCUUCAAAAUAGGAAGUCAGAUUUCCUUGAAUGGCUUAUUAUUAUACUGAUUGGUGCGGAGAUCCUCAUCUCUGUUUAUGACAUUGCCCAUAAGUCAUCAAUCGCUCUGUAGGUAUAACUAGCUUCUGAAGUUGUUGGAAACUUGAAAUAUGGCAUCGUACUCUAAUUAUGGCGUGGAGUUUGUUGUACAUAGGAAAUCCUCAAAUAAUAUAUCGAUCUAUAUGCUAUACGACACUUGUCUUUCUUAAUUGUAAAUGCAUUAUCACUUUACACUAGGGAAAGUAUACAUCAUUUAAGCUUGGUGCCUUGAAAUGGGGGGCUAUGAAUUUAGAGGAAAUUGCAUAUUUGGUACCUUUCUCCUGUAAGUAUUUUUUUGAUUUGGGUUUCGUGCUCAUUUUUGUUUUGACAAUUUGACAUUUUCCGAGUGCGAUGAAUUCAUAUUAGUUCUCUCUAUAAAAAUUAUUGUACGAACUGUGAAGUAUAUAAGAAUGCACCCAUUUUUAAUAAAUAAUGAGUGAUAAGUUAGCUCAGACUUCGGGUUCUAUGACUCAUGCUAUGUAGUGGAUAAUAGAUCCCCAUCUUUGAUUCAUGAUUUAAUCAAUCAUUAAUUAAAAUGCUUGUUUAAAAAAAAAAUAUGUAAAAAGUUAAAAUUAAGUUUGAAUCUACAUACAAUUAUAUAUAUCUGUAAUUCGCUUCGCCUUGCAUUAGUUUUAAAAAAACUCACUUCAAUCGUCAUCCAUUCCUCUGGCCCUGCACAAUUUUAAAUACGCCCCGCUCAGCAUAGGCUUAAACUUACCCCGCCAUGCCCCAAUCCCUACCGUUAAGAGUCCAGUGGUUUAGCCAUCUUGAAAGAGUCAAAUUAAAUUCACUUGUGUGUUUGGUAGAAGGAAAAAUAUAUAUUUUUUGGAAAAUAUUUUCUUAGAAAGUGGUUUAAAGAGUAAUUUUCCUAUAUAGUCACCCAUGUUUGAGAAAUUACCUAGUAGUAUCAUUUUGUUUGUUUUAAGACACUAUAAUGUGAUCCAACUAUAUAUAUUUUUCUCAAAAUAUACUUGAAACAAAAAAAAUUCUCCUCUCUCCUAAUGGAUGUCGUAUCACAUUAUUCCCUUUUUAUUAAUAAUACAUUUAAUUAUUUUUUUUUAACAAUCCACAUGUUAUACUUGGUAAAAAAGAAAAAUUACAUAGUGCAAAGUGAACAUUUUUAAACAAUCAUAUUUAUUUUCUGUUAUUACGGUUAACAUUAAUUAUUUAUUCUAAAUCAUGUUUCAAAUUAUUCUUUCUUUAAGUUCUUAAAGAAUGUGUAAGGUGAACAUUAAAAACAAGUAAAAGUGAAAAAAAAAGAAAAAAAAAGUAACAUUAGAGAACAAUUUUCAUGUAUUCAUAAAAAAUCAAGAGUAUUAUAUCAACUAACUCAUUUUACGGACUUUUUUUCCUAGCAAUUAUUCUCUUUGUCUAUUUUAAUUAUUCAUUUUUACUUGUUUACAUUAGAAAAUCAAGAGAUAAUUUCUUACUUAAUUCAUAAUUCACUCUUAUUAUUAGUUAUAGUCAUUUGUCAAUGCAUUUUUUUUAAAUCUUAAAUUUAUUAUAUUCAGAGAUUAAUAUAGUAAAAUACAUAAAAUCCCCCUCAAACUUGUCUGCAAAACUCACUUUAGCACUAUGACUUUACGGACCUUUAAAUACCCCCUUAAUUUUUUUUCAAGUGAAUUAAAUACCACCUUAUAUAUAUUAUACCAGUUUCACGGUUGGGAGGUGAUAUACACGUGCGCCACAUCAGUGACACAGUGAAAUAAUUUAGUUUUCAUUUCUUUUUUUUUUCCAUGUCAUUUUUUGUAUUUAGUUUUCAUUUCUUUUUAUUUCUUCCAUAUUACUUUUUGUCCUCAUUUUCCCUCUUCACUCAUCUUCUUUAUUGUUCCAUCUUCUCCAUUAUAAUACUAAAAUUAAAGUUCCCUAGGGUAGAAAACUAACACACAACAUGAUUUCUAAUAAUUUAACAAAUAUUAUGUAAAACAGAGGAAAAAAGGAGCGAUACAUAUAUUAUCAUCAUUGAACAAGAGUUGCUAGUGCUUCAAUGGCAACUAUCGGCGACUGCUUCAACGACAAUUACAUGAGUCAUGGUUGUUAUAUUAGGCUCAAAAUUGAUAGCUCUGAAGGUUUUCAGACCUUUUACCAUGGUUGCCGAAAAAACGAAAACACAUAAAAAGACAAAAAAGAAAAUAGGAAGAAUGGAAGAAAUCCAAGAUAAAGGUAUGCCCGGCGUUUUGUCCAGUUCAGUGGCGUGGUGAAAUUUUUUGGCAAUAUCUGAUGGUUUCACGACACCUAGUCUCUUUGCGGAGCAGUGAUGAAGGGAGUGGCAGCGAGGUCCUUCAUGUUGGUCUGUGAUUGCCAUCAAGAUUGUUUUCUGGAGGUCCGGCCAUAGCGGAAAUAGAGAGAGCUAAACAAUUUGAGAGAAAGGAGAUGAAACAGGCGUUGAAUGAAGACAAAGUGGGAUCCACUUAUUUUCUUUUUAAAUUUCAUGCUAUUUACGCGCCUAGAACUUUUUUAUUUGCCACGUCUGCCAUUAAAGUGGUAUUUAAUUCACUUGAAAGUUUUUAAGGGGUACUUAAACGUCCGUAAAGUUAUAGUGCUAAAGUGAGUUUUGCGGACAAGUUUGAGGGGGAUUUUAUGUAUUUCCUCUUUCUUAAGUGAUGUGUCAAAUUAAUACUGAACAAGUAAAGAUGAACAGAAGGAGUAGAAACUAAAUUUCCUCUAUAGAGAGAUUCUAGAACUAAAGUAAUUAUAACAAGCGUAGUUUAAAGGAAAAAGGAAAAAAAUUAUUAUUAAAAAAUAAGAAAUAAUAUGACAUGACACCCCAUUAAUAGUGUGCACUUGACAUAUUCUUUAAGAAAUUAAAGAAUGAAUGAUUUGAGAAAUGAUUUAGACUAAAUAAUUAAUGCUAAAUGUAAUAGUAGAAAAAAAAUUCUAUCUCUUACUAUGCUAAAGUAAACAACUAAAAAUGAUAAAUAAUUUAGAUUUUUUUUUGCUGAAUGGAGUAUAACAUAUGGGUGUUUUAAGAAGUUUAUUUUUUUUUAUUAUUAAUAAAAAUUAAAUAAUGUGACGUGGCAUCCCAUUAGGAAAGAGAUUUUUUAUUUAUUUUGUGUCAAGUAUAUUUUGAAAAUAUGUAAAGUUGGGUGAUAUUGUAGUCAUAAAACAAACAAGAGUAAUAUUACUAGGUAAUUUUCCAAACAUGAGUGACUAUCUAGAAAAAUUACUCGUGUUUUAAACAAGUGGAUUUCAUACUAACUUUUUAGUGUUUGGUAAAUAAAAAAAAUAUUAUCUCGAGAACAUUUAUAUGUAGGGGUGUCAAAAUGAGUCCAAAUAUAGGUAACCUGCCCAAUCAGUCCAAACUUAUAGUUUGGGCUCAAUAUAAUUUGAAUUCGAUUCAAUUUCAAUCAAUUCAAGCCCUAACCAAUUUUAAAAGAAUCUUCAUUUGAGCCUAAUUUAAUCUCCUAUUCCAACCCGUUUUAAGACUUUUUAUUGACAUUGAUGUAAUAUAUGUCCCUAUAUAUAUAUUGAAUGUAUGAAUUAUUAUCUAUUUUUAUAUUUUCUAGGAUUUAUUGAUUCAAUUUUCUUGAAUUGAAAUUCAAAUUGUGCUUAUAAUUUUUUAAUAAUAAUAUAUUAAAAUUAUUGAGAUUAAGCGGGUCAAAUUGGGCGGAUCAUGAUCCAACCGUUUUCUACUUCAAUCCAUUUUAAUAUCUCAACUUUCAACUCAAUCCACCUAUUUGACACCCCAAUUUAUAUGUUAUUUAGCAAAAUACUAUAAAUGAGGGAUGAUAUGGGGAGGGGGGGGGGGUUUGGGGAUGGGAUGAUCAAGGGGUAGGGGUUGAGGGAUCAGGCGGAUAGGAAAGAGACAAUAAAUUUAGA
RNAcentral lists this long non-coding RNA (3924 nucleotides) under Solanum tuberosum (potato). RNAcentral's name for it is "long non-coding RNA (STUB_LNC004735)". The record is from RNAcentral. Lineage: Eukaryota; Viridiplantae; Streptophyta; Magnoliopsida; Solanales; Solanaceae.